GACGAACGCUGGCGGCGUGCUUAACACAUGCAAGUCGAACGGAAAGGCCCUGCUUUUGUGGGGUGCUCGAGUGGCGAAGGGGGGAGUAACACGUGAGUAACCUGUCCUUGACUUUGGGAUAACUUCAGGAAACUGGGGCUAAUAUCGGAUAGGAGCUCCUGCAGCAUGGGGGGGGAUGGAAAGAUUCGGCGGUUGGGGCUGGACUCGGGGCGUAUCAGCUAGUUGGUGGGGUAGCGGCUUACCAAGGCUAUGAUGGGUAGCAGACCUGAGCGGGUGACCGGCGACACUGGAACUGAGACACGGUCCAGACUCCUACGGGAGGCAGCAGUAGGGAAUCUUCCGCAAUGGGCGAGAGCUUGACGGAGCAACGCCGCGUGAGUGAUGAAGGUCUUCGGAUCGUAAAGCUCUGUUAUUAGGGAAGAACAAAUGUGUAAGUAACUAUGCACGUCUUGACGGUACCUAAUCAGAAAGCCACGGCUAACUACGUG
This 488-nucleotide ribosomal RNA is filed under the name uncultured bacterium. RNAcentral describes it as "partial 16S ribosomal RNA". It matches the Rfam family "Bacterial small subunit ribosomal RNA", at positions 28 to 507 of the family's 1533-position model. The record is from RNAcentral.